Molecule: ribosomal RNA, 484 nt
Filed under: uncultured bacterium
Lineage: Bacteria
Description: partial 16S ribosomal RNA
Rfam family: Bacterial small subunit ribosomal RNA
Source: RNAcentral
AUUGAACGCUGGCGGCAGGCCUAACACAUGCAAGUCGAGCGGAUGAAGGGAGCUUGCUCCUGGAUUCAGCGGCGGACGGGUGAGUAAUGCCUAUGAAUCUGCCUGGUAGUGGGGGAUAACGUCCGGAAACGGGCGCUAAUACCGCAUACGUCCUGAGGGAGAAAGUGGGGGAUCUUCGGACCUCACGCUAUCAGAUGAGCCUAGGUCGGAUUAGCUAGUUGGUGGGGUAAAGGCCUAACAAGGCGACGAUCCGUAACUGGUCUGAGAGGAUGAUCAGUCACACUGGAACUGAGACACGGUCCAGACUCCUACGGGAGGCAGCAGUGGGGAAUAUUGGACAAUGGGCGAAAGCCUGAUCCAGCCAUGCCGCGUGUGUGAAGAAGGUCUUCGGAUUGUAAAGCACUGUAAGUUGGGAGGAAGGGAAGUAAGUUAAUACCUUGCUGUUUUGACGUUACCAACAGAAUAAGCACCGGCUAACUUCGUG